Molecule: non-coding RNA, 54 nt
Filed under: unclassified sequences
Description: Li+-I sequence
Rfam family: nhaA-I RNA
About the family: Acidobacteria, Alphaproteobacteria, Betaproteobacteria and Gammaproteobacteria, Verrucomicrobia, cand. division NC10.
Source: Rfam by way of RNAcentral
GGGUGUGACGGGUAACCCGGUCGGCAGGAUUCAGGGAUGGUCGGGCCGCCAUCU